UGGGACUGCUCUUGUUGACAUGUAUUGUAAAUUGGGUGAUUUAGAAUUGGCAAGAAAAGUAUUUGAUAAAAUGCCCAAGAAAGAUGUUAUAACGUGGAAUGUAAUGAUUUUGGGUUUGUCACAGAGUGUGAAUCCUCAAGAGGCACUGGGGUUUAUUAGGAAUAUGCAAUUGGUUGGUAUGGAGCCUGAUUUAGUAAGCAUUGUCAAUUUGGUUCCAGCUGUUUCAAGUUUGGGUGAUAUUGAUGCUUGUAGUACCAUACAUGGUUAUGUGAUUAGGAGGGGUUUUGAUGCAGUUGUUUCGAAUGGGUUAAUUGAUAUGUACUCUAAGUGUGGGAACAUUGAUGUGGCUAGUCAGGUCUUCAAACAAAUGCAAGACAGGAAUGAUAUUUCAUGGAUAACAAUGAUGACAGGGUAUGCACAUAAUGAAUGCUUCUUUGAGGUUUUGGACUUGUUUGAUUGCAUGAAGAGAGGGAAUGUUAGGUUGAAUUAUGUAUCAAUUGUAAAUGCUCUUUUGGCUGCUGCAGAGAUGAGAGAUUUAAGGAGAGGGAAAGAAAUUCAUGAUUAUGCUAGAAAACAAAAAAUUGACUCGGAUGUUUUGAUUGCUACUGCUUUGAUGACUAUGUAUGCAAAAUUUGGAGAUCCAGAUGCAGCUAAAUCUUUGCUUCAAGGGCUUAAAGGAAGGGAUUUGGUUGCUUGGUCAGCAAUCAUAGCUGCUCUUGUUCAAUCAGGGUAUCCUGAAGAUGCACUGUCAUUAUUUCGGGAGAUGCAGAAUGAUUGUUUGAAAGCAAAUAAUGUUACCCUCAUGAGUGUACUUUCAGCUUGUGCGGAAGUAUUGUGCCCAAGAAUAGGUAAAAGCGUGCACUGUUAUGCUGUUAAAAGCCAUAUUGAUUUAGAUAUCUCACUUGGAACAACCUUAGUUUCUAUGUAUGCUAAAUGUGGAUUCUUUGCUUCUGCAUUGACUAUAUUCAAUAGAAUGCCAUGUAAAGAUAUUGUUAUGUGGAAUGCUUUGAUAAAUGGGUACACCCAGAAUGGUGACCCUUAUCAUGCAAUGGAGAUUUUCCAUGAAGUGCAGGUAUCUGAAAUAUGCCCAGACUCAGGAACCAUGGUGGGUUUGCUUUCAGCAUGUGUCCUAUCAUAUGACCAAGGCCAAGGAUCCUGCAUCCAUGGAAAAAUAAUUAGGUAUGGCUUUGAAUCUCAAUGUCAUGUAAAAAAUGCUCUUAUUGACAUGUAUGCCAAAUGUGGAAGCCUUUCCAUUGCUGAAUUCUUGUUUAAGGGAACUGAUUUUAAAAAGGAUGAGGUAUCUUGGAAUGUACUGAUUGCGGGAUAUGUGCACAGUGGACAUGCCAAAGAAGCUAUUUCUGCAUUUUGCCAGAUGAAAUUAGAGAAUUUUCAUCCUAAUCUAGUCACAAUUGUGAGUGUCCUUCCUGCUGUAGCAUGUCUGUCAUCCUUAACGGAAGGCAUGGCUUUUCAUGCCUGCAUUAUCAGAAUGGGAUUUGAGUAUAAUAUACUUGUCCAGAAUUGUCUUAUUGAUAUGUAUGCCAAAUGUGGGCAGCUUCAUAACUCAGAGAACCUAUUUUAUGGGAUGAAGAGUAAAAACACUGUUUCAUGGAAUGUGAUGCUCACAGGGUAUGCAGUUCAUGGGCAAGGGCACCAUGCUAUUGAACUUUUCUCACUUAUGCAAAAGAGUGAUAUCAGGGUUGAUUCUAUAUCCUUCCUCAGUGUGUUGUCUGCUUGUAGACAUGCAGGUUUAAUAGAUGAAGGGAGGACCAUAUUUGAUGCCAUGUGCAAAAAGCACCAUCUUGAACCAGGUUUGGAACACUAUGCUUGCAUGGUUGAUCUAUUAGGUCGUGCUGGAUUAUUUGAUGAAAUAUUGCAUUUAAUCAAGGCAAUGCCAUUGGAACCUGAUGCCAGAGUGUGGGGUGCCUUACUGGGUGCAUGUAAAAUGCAUUCUAAAAUCCUGUUAGCAGAAUUUGCAGUAGAUCAUCUUCUUAAACUUGAGCCUAAGAAUCCAACCCAUCAUGUAGUUUUAUCAAAUAUCUAUGCUAAAUCUGCAAGGUGGGGAGAUGCAGGCGACACAAGAUCAAAGAUGAUCAAUACAGGGCUGAGAAAAGGCCCAGGAUGGAGUUGGGUGUGACGCAGUGCACCAAUAUAAGGUAUACUUGCAUUUGGAGUGGGUGAUAAGGGCUAUUCAUGAGUAAGGAAUGUGGCUUCAUUCUGAAACAUUUAUUUUAAGAAGAUUGGAAAAGAAUAUUAUAUGUUUCCAGACAGGACUGGUUUGCUACAGGAUGUGGAGGAGAGAACUGUUGCUUUUAAAGCAUAGCUGAUGUUAGCCAUAGUUUUUGCUCCUCUGGAGCCCAGAUGCUUGUCCAGAAGUGUAAGAAUUUCUAUAUUUCCACUGAUCAUUGCCUUACCUUACGUAUCCUUACAAAAAUGCCCAACCUGCAAGAUGAAAACUCAUUGUUUGAGAAACUGCUAGUUAGUCAUUCCCUUCAUUUUGUUGUGCUAUCUGCUUGUGCAGUUAUUAUGAAGAAGUACAAACACUUCUUCGCUUACAAAUUUGCAAGCAGUGUAUGCAAGAAGCUUGCUGCUGUGAGGAGUAUUAAUCUUUAGCACUCAAGAUUUAAUGAACAGCUCCCUUGAUGAAGAUUUGACUGGUUAUAGUUCCAUGAAAUAGUAGUCUGAGAUCCACAAUGGAUGGGCCUUGAGCAGGGAAAAUAAUAUAAACUUGCAAUAAAACUUCCUACAGUUGCAAGAGCAUAUUGAUCAAGGCCUAUCAAUGAUCAUUUCAUUGCUUUGACUUACUGAUCAUUACAUUAUAUUGGAAGGUAUCUCAUAUAUUAUUCAUGCGGAAGCUUGGAAUGAUUUUUCCAAAGAGGAAAAGAUUAACACUCAGCUCUACAAGUUACAGCAUCUUCUUGAAAGGAGCAGGAGAUUGAGCCACUGAAACACAAUUGCUAUACUCAUCAUUGCUUCUUGCCAAAUAUUCCAACAAGCUAGAUUUAAAACUUGGACCAUGAGCAAUGUGGUUCACAGAAUUGUCAAGGCAAGGUUUUCCCAUGAAAAGCAGCUCGAUGAACGUUCUUCAGUGGGAAUUCCAUUCUCAAGUAUUGCUACCAAUAUCUCUUUUCCAUGAUUUGCUGUUGUAAUUGAGGUAUUUUUCAUAUAUCCAAAGGUAUUAAUACACAGAUACAUAUAUGUAUGCAAUCAUAUCCUAUACAAUUUUCUUGUGAACAAGAUGGUUUGGCUGCCUGCAGAUGUUGCCAGAGAUCCUUGUGUUUUAUGUUAUAGUUUGGAGAAGAGG
RNAcentral lists this unclassified non-coding RNA (3301 nucleotides) under Hevea brasiliensis (rubber tree). The record is from RNAcentral. Lineage: Eukaryota; Viridiplantae; Streptophyta; Magnoliopsida; Malpighiales; Euphorbiaceae.